UCUUUUACUCUGUUUUCAAGGUGAUUGGCUUGAUCAUUCCUUUUCGUAGUGAUGAUGCUUAGAAGUGGGAAAGUGUGGUUUCUCCUGUAGAGUCCAUGCCAUCAACCAGAGGGAAAUAUGCCCCUUUACAGGAGUCCCCCGGAGCAGAAGAGCAGGGUUGAUUGAUUCAGCAGCUCAGUGAUGUCAUUAGGGGAAACCAGCCACCAUGCUGUGAAGAAGCCCAAGCUGCCACAUGGACAGACCCAUGUGCAGGGAAACCACCAGCCAGCACUGAACAGCCAGCCGUGUGAGGUGCACUAUCUUGGAAGUGGAUCCUCCAGCCUCAAGCUACCCCGCUGACACCAUGUGAAGCAGAGGAGAGCCGUUCUAUGAGGCACUAAGUUUUGGGGUGGUUUGUUAUGCGGCAGUAGACAGCUGGAACAGGGGUGCACUCUGGAAAGAAUUGUGUUUCCUCAGUGCUUUCUCUGAUGUCUUACUCUUUUUGUCAUUGGAUUAGUUAGGUAUCAAGAGCAAGGCCUAAAGUGAGGAAAGAGUUGAAGCCUGAAAGGAAUUUUAUUGUUUAGUUCAACUAAUUUGCUGUCUGGGAUUUCUAUAUGGGAUUUGGGGGUUCAUGAUUUAUAAUAACAAGUGGUGAUUUUGCACAUCUCCCUUGAGAAGUUGCAGUAGGUGAUGGCUGGUUGUGAGCUGGAUGUUCAGGAUCCAAGGAAAAUAAUCAAUGACAACUAUCUACUCCCUUUUUACUUAAAGUACGGCCCACCCUGGAAGGAGUAAUCCUUGUUAAGGCAUCUUCUUACCUGUUUUGCCUAUUCUAGGAACCAGGAUCUUGACUUGCUGUCAGAAGGGUCCACUCAGCUCAAUCGCGCUGCGCGGCUUGUGGG
This is a long non-coding RNA of Delphinapterus leucas (beluga whale), 878 nucleotides long. RefSeq lists it as uncharacterized. The record is from RefSeq and is a predicted model, not a curated record. Lineage: Eukaryota; Metazoa; Chordata; Mammalia; Artiodactyla; Monodontidae.